UACGGAGGAGGCAAGCGUUAUCCGGAAUGAUUGGGCGUAAAGCGUCCGCAGGUGGCCAUGUAAGUCUGCUGUCAAAACCCAGGGCUUAACUCUGGUUAGGCAGUGGAAACUACAAAGCUAGAGUCUGGUAGGGGCCAAGGGAAUUCCCGGUGUAGCGGUGAAAUGCGUAGAGAUCGGGAAGAACAUCGGUGGCGAAAGCGCUUGGCUAGACCAGAACUGACACUCAGGGACGAAAGCUAGGGGAGCGAAUGGG
RNAcentral lists this ribosomal RNA (253 nucleotides) under uncultured bacterium. RNAcentral describes it as "partial 16S ribosomal RNA". It matches the Rfam family "Bacterial small subunit ribosomal RNA", at positions 524 to 776 of the family's 1533-position model. The record is from RNAcentral.